This 303-nucleotide unclassified non-coding RNA is filed under the name fungal sp. Its description in RNAcentral is "partial internal transcribed spacer region". The stretch from base 1 to 46 matches the Rfam family "Eukaryotic small subunit ribosomal RNA", at positions 1786 to 1831 of the family's 1831-position model. Lineage: Eukaryota; Fungi. The record is from RNAcentral.
AAGUCGUAACAAGGUCUCCGUAGGUGAACCUGCGGAGGGAUCAUUAACACGUUUUUACAACGUUUUUCAACCAAAAAACUAGAAACCAAGAAGUCAAGAAGAAAGUGAAAAAAGUGCAGUCAGUCAGUCAGUCAUUGAUUGAUUGAUUGUUGCUUUUUUUCUUUUUUCCCCUUUUUGUUUAUUCUUAACCCUUUUCCAAUCCAUAGUCAAAAGUCAAAUGCUAUUCCAGUGUCACUCUGUUAUACUGCAAUAGUUGAUAUCAAAAGCAAAGCACAACUCUUAGCAACGGAUAUCUUGGUUCUC